AUGGAGACGAGGCAGGAACCAGAGGCGAAGACAGACGUGGAGACGAGGCAGGAACCAGAGGCGAAGACAGACGUAGAGACGUCCUCCUUGGACCUCCGCGACGAGACACAGGAACCAGCGGCGUCCUCCUUGGACCACCGCGACGAGAAACAGGAACCAGCGGCGUCCUCCUUGGACCACCGCGACGAGAGACAGGAACCAGCAGCGUCCUCCUUGGACCACCACGACGAGAAACAGGAACCAGCGGCGUCCACCUUGGACCACCGCAACGAGACACAGGAACCAGCGACGUCCACCUUGGACCACCGCGACGAGACACAGGAACCAGCGGCGUCCACCUUGGACCACCGCGACGAGACACAGGAACCAGCGGCGUCCACCUUGGACCACCGCGACGAGACACAGGAACCAGUGGCAUCCACCUUGGACCACCGCAAAGAGACACAGGUGCAGAUGCAGCCGGAGCCGAGCCGCCAGGAACCGAUGCAGGUGCGGCCGGAGCCGAGCCGCCAGGAACCGAUGCAGGUGCGGCAGGAAUUGCGACGGGCGCGACCCCCUCCCGGAGGUCCGCCGGGACUGCGACGGGCGCGACCCCCUCCCGGAGGUCCGCCGGGACUGCGGCUGGCGCGACCUCCUCCUGGAGGUGCGCAGGAGCUGCAGCAGGCCGGCGGGCGUUGCGGCUCCGAGGGUGACAGGAACUGGAACGGCCGCAACAUGGCCGACAGGGACUGGGACAGGAACUGGAACGGCCGCAACAUGGCCGACAGGGACUGGGACAGGAACUGGAAUGGCCGCAACAUGGCCGACAGGAACAGGAACAGGGACUGGAACGGCCGCAACAUGGCCGACAGGAACAGGUACAGGGACUGGAACGGCCUCAACAUGGCCGACAGGAACAGGAACGGCUUCAACAUGGUCGACAGGAACAGGAACGGCUUCAACAUGGCCGACAGGAACAGGAACGACCUCUACUUGGCCGACAGGAACAGGAACGACCUCUACUUGGCCGACAGGAACAGGAGCGGCGUCCUUACUAGAGCCGGCGGCGCUGCUCUCAGGCUCCCCACUGGAGCCGGCGGCGCUGCUCUCAGGCUCCCCACUGGAGCCGGCGGCGCUGCUCUCAGGCUCCCCACUGGAGCCGGCGGCGCUGCUCUCAGGCUCUCCACUGGAGCCGGCGGCGCUGCUCUCAGGCUCCUCACUGGAGCCGGCGGCGCUGCUCUCAGGCUCCUCACUAGAGCCGGCAGCGACUGA
RNAcentral lists this long non-coding RNA (1251 nucleotides) under Betta splendens (Siamese fighting fish). RNAcentral's name for it is "lncRNA (ENSBSLG00000010197.1)". Lineage: Eukaryota; Metazoa; Chordata; Actinopteri; Anabantiformes; Osphronemidae. The record is from RNAcentral.